Non-coding RNA from Phodopus roborovskii (desert hamster), 551 nucleotides. The record is from the annotation of a RefSeq genome assembly. NCBI's taxonomy places the organism in Eukaryota, Metazoa, Chordata, Mammalia, Rodentia, Cricetidae.
UCAGUAUGGAGUUGGGACUGAGCUGGAUUCUCCUUAUUUCUUUUUUAAAAGGUGUCCAGUGUGAAGAGAAGCUUGUGCAGUCUGGGGGUGGCCUGAUGAAGCCUGGGGAGUCCCUGAGACUCUCCUGUGUAGCCUCUGGGUUCACCUUCAGUGACUACUGGAUGAGCUGGUUCAGACAAACUCCUGACAUGGCUCUGAAGUGGAUUGGAGAAAUUAAGUAUGAUGGCAGUACCACAAAUUAUGCACCAUCCUUUAAGGAUCGAGUCACCAUCUCCAGAGACAAUGGCAAGAACACCCUGUACCUGCAAAUGAACAGUCUCAAGUCUGAGGACACAGCCACAUAUUACUGUGCUAGACACACAGAAAAUUUGGGACAAACCAAAGAGGAUAUAUUAAGUGUGGACAUUAUCCCUGAAAUUAUCCGAGUAUCACAAACAAGGAAGCACAGUCUCAGGAAUGGCUUCUUCCUCAGACAGGAUGAAGACUUAGAUCACAGCAUCCAGCUGCCUGAUAAAGUUUUCCCGUACCUCCUUCCUCUCGAGCUGGACUAG